This is a transfer RNA of 74 nucleotides. It matches the Rfam family "tRNA". Rfam says of the family: Transfer RNA (tRNA) molecules are approximately 80 nucleotides in length. The record is from Rfam.
GGGGGGGUGGAGCAGCCCGGUAGCUCGUCAGGCUCAUAACCUGAAGGCCGCAGGUUCAAAUCCUGCCCCCGCAA